UCCAGUUUAUCACCGGCAGUCUCUGCAGAGUGCUCGGAAACCUUACGGCUUCCGGUGGCAACAGCAGACGUGGGUUGCGCUCGUUGCGGGACUUAACCCAACACUUCACAGCACGAGCUGACGACAGCCAUGCACCACCUGUGCUAGCUCUCGACUUGACGAGUCCAUCCCCUUUCAGUUCAGUACUUCUAGCAUGUCAAAUCCGGGUGAGGUUCUACGCGUAGCGUCGAAUUGAACCACAUGUUCCACCGCUUGUGCGGGCCCCCGUCAAUUCCUUUGAGUUUCAUUCUUGCGAACGUACUCCCCAGGUGGAGGACUUAAUGGGUUACCUGCGGCGCCGACUCUCAUUGAGCCAACACCUAGUCCUCAACGUUUACAGCGUGGACUAC
This 389-nucleotide unclassified non-coding RNA is filed under the name uncultured bacterium. RNAcentral describes it as "contains 16S-23S intergenic spacer region". The record is from RNAcentral.